GCUACGGGUGUGCAGCAGUGAGGAAGAUUGGGCAAUGGACGAGAGUCUGAACCAGCCAAGUAGCGUGAAGGAUGAAUGCCCGAUGGGUUGGAAACUUCUUUUAGAAAGGAAGAAAACGAGGCACGUGUGCCUUUUUGCAUGUACUUUAUGAAUAAGGAUCGGCUAACUCCGUGCCAGCAGCCGCGGUAAUACGGAGGAUCCGAGCGUGAUCCGGAUUUAUUGGGUUUAAAGGGAGCGUAGAUGGGUUGUUAAGUCAGUUGUGAAAGGUUGCGGCUCAACCGUAAAAUUGCAAUGGAUACUUGCAGUCUUGCGUACAGUUGAGGUAGUCGUAAUUCGUUGUGUAGCUGU
This 348-nucleotide ribosomal RNA is filed under the name uncultured bacterium. Its description in RNAcentral is "partial 16S ribosomal RNA". It matches the Rfam family "Bacterial small subunit ribosomal RNA", at positions 338 to 682 of the family's 1533-position model. The record is from RNAcentral.